GGGUAUAUAGCUCAAGUGGUAGAGCACAUGCUUAGCAUGCGAGGUCCUGGGUUCAAUCCCCAGUACCUCCU
RNAcentral lists this transfer RNA (71 nucleotides) under Camelus bactrianus (Bactrian camel). It matches the Rfam family "tRNA". From Rfam's summary of the family: Transfer RNA (tRNA) molecules are approximately 80 nucleotides in length. Lineage: Eukaryota; Metazoa; Chordata; Mammalia; Artiodactyla; Camelidae. RNAcentral also lists the same sequence under 2 other names. The record is from Rfam by way of RNAcentral.